AAUAGAUACCCAGGUAGUCCACGCCGUAAACGGUGGGCACUAGGUGUGGGCGACAUUCCACGUCGUCCGUGCCGCAGCUAACGCAUUAAGUGCCCCGCCUGGGGAGUACGGCCGCAAGGCUAAAACUCAAAGGAAUUGACGGGGGCCCGCACAAGCGGCGGAGCAUGUGGCUUAAUUCGACGCAACGCGAAGAACCUUACCAAGGCUUGACAUACACCGGAAACGUCCAGAGAUGGGCGCCCCCUUGUGGUCGGUGUACAGGUGGUGCAUGGCUAUCGUCAGCUCGUGUCGUGAGAUGUUGGGUUAAGUCCCGCAACGAGCGCAACCCUUGUCCCGUGUUGCCAGCAGGCCCCUGUGGUGCUGGGGACUCACGGGAGACCGCCGGGGUCAACUCGGAGAAGGUGGGGACGACGUCAAGUCAUCAUGCCCCUUAUGUCUUGGGCUGCACGCGUGCUACAAUGGCCGGUACAAUGAGCUGCGAUACCGCGAGGUGGAGCGAAUCUCAAAAAGCCGGUCUCAGUUCGGAUUGGGGUCUGC
RNAcentral lists this ribosomal RNA (537 nucleotides) under uncultured bacterium. Its description in RNAcentral is "bacterial SSU rRNA". It matches the Rfam family "Bacterial small subunit ribosomal RNA", at positions 777 to 1308 of the family's 1533-position model. The record is from RNAcentral.